Molecule: ribosomal RNA, 22 nt
Filed under: Scleroderma verrucosum
Lineage: Eukaryota; Fungi; Basidiomycota; Agaricomycetes; Boletales; Sclerodermataceae
Description: partial 18S ribosomal RNA
Source: RNAcentral
GCCCGACGGCCGGACUUGUUGC